GUAGGGUGCAAGCGUUAAUCGGAAUUACUGGGCGUAAAGGGCGUGUAGGCGGAGGUGCAAGUUGGGAGUGAAAUCUAUGGGCUUAACCCAUAAACUGCUCUCAAAACUGUGCCCCUUGAGUAUCGGAGAGGCAAGCGGAAUUCCUAGUGUAGCGGUGAAAUGCGUAGAUAUUAGGAGGAACACCAGUGGCGAAGGCGGCUUGCUGGACGACAACUGACGCUGAGGCGCGAAAGCGUGGGGAGC
RNAcentral lists this ribosomal RNA (243 nucleotides) under uncultured bacterium. RNAcentral describes it as "partial 16S ribosomal RNA". It matches the Rfam family "Bacterial small subunit ribosomal RNA", at positions 527 to 769 of the family's 1533-position model. The record is from RNAcentral.